RNAcentral lists this ribosomal RNA (409 nucleotides) under uncultured bacterium. RNAcentral describes it as "bacterial SSU rRNA". It matches the Rfam family "Bacterial small subunit ribosomal RNA", at positions 162 to 603 of the family's 1533-position model. The record is from RNAcentral.
GACAAUACCGCAUAAGCUCGAGAGAGGAAAGCAGCAAUGCGCUGGAGGAGGAGUCCGCGGUCGAUUAGUUAGUUGGCAGGGUAAAGGCCUACCAAGACUGUGAUCGAUAGCCGGCCUGAGAGGGCACACGGCCACACUGGCACUGAAACACGGGCCAGACUCCUACGGGAGGCAGCAGUGGGGAAUCUUGCACAAUGGGGGAAACCCUGAUGCAGCGACGCCGCGUGAGCGAUGAAGCCCUUCGGGGUGUAAAGCUCUUUCGGCAGGGAAGAUUAUGACGGUACCUGCAGAAGCAGCUGCGGCUAACUACGUGCCAGCAGCCGCGGUAAUACGUAGGCAGCAAGCGUUGUUCGGAGUUACUGGGCGUAAAGGGUGCGUAGGCGGCUUUUUAAGUUUGGUGUGAAAUCUC